Molecule: ribosomal RNA, 253 nt
Filed under: uncultured bacterium
Lineage: Bacteria
Description: partial 16S ribosomal RNA
Rfam family: Bacterial small subunit ribosomal RNA
Source: RNAcentral
GACGAACCGUGCGAACGUUGUUCGGAAUUACUGGGCGUAAAGGGCGCGUAGGCGGCGAACCAAGUCAGAUGUGAAAGUCCUGGGCUUAACCUGGGGACUGCAUUUGAUACUGGUUUGCUUGAAUUCGGGAGAGGAUAGCGGAAUUCCCAGUGUAGAGGUGAAAUUCGUAGAUAUUGGGAAGAACACCGGUGGCGAAGGCGGCUAUCUGGACCGACAUUGACGCUGAGGCGCGAAAGCGUGGGGAGCAAACAGG